This 468-nucleotide ribosomal RNA is filed under the name uncultured bacterium. RNAcentral describes it as "partial 16S ribosomal RNA". It matches the Rfam family "Bacterial small subunit ribosomal RNA", at positions 28 to 507 of the family's 1533-position model. The record is from RNAcentral.
GACGAACGCUGGCGGCGUGCUUAACACAUGCAAGUCGAACGGAAAGGCCCUGCUUUUGUGGGGUGCUCGAGUGGCGAACGGGUGAGUAACACGUGAGUAACCUGCCCUUGACUUUGGGAUAACUUCAGGAAACUGGGGCUAAUACCGGAUAGGAGCUCCUGCUGCAUGGUGGGGGUUGGAAAGUUUCGGCGGUUGGGGUUGGACUCGCGGCUUAUCAGCUUGUUGGUGGGGUAGUGGCUUACCAAGGCUUUGACGGGUAGCCGGCCUGAGAGGGUGACCGGCGACACUGGGACUGAGAUACGGCCCAGACGCCUACGGGAGGCAGCAGUGGGGAAUAGUGCACAAUGGGCGGAAGCCUGAUGCAGCAACGCCGCGUGCGGGAUGACGGCCUUCGGGUUGUAAACCGCUUUCGCCUGUGACGAAGCGUGAGUGACGGUAAUGGGUAAAGAAGCACCGGCUAACUACGUG